Long non-coding RNA from Neodiprion virginianus, 1327 nucleotides. RefSeq lists it as uncharacterized. The transcript has 4 exons. Lineage: Eukaryota; Metazoa; Arthropoda; Insecta; Hymenoptera; Diprionidae. The record is from RefSeq and is a predicted model, not a curated record.
UUACACUUAGACGCUGAAAUGGUUGAAGAUUGACUGCACCAAACCAGCGAAUACGAAACGUGACUAGCCGAGUUAUGGAGAGUGUCUGGUAGACACGAGUGACGACCGCGAAUUAACUAGGGCGAAAGUGCUCCGAGAUCGUAAAGUGUCCGAGGUCAUGCGGGAAUUGGAGAUUUAAAUUUUAGGAGUGGUAAAGCUUCACACCGAAAUAUUAAUUCCAGUACCGUCGUGCAGGUCUCGAGUCGAGCGUGAUGUUCCACUACGACUUCCGCCAUUGUGUGCUAAUGAAAAAGCGACAUUUCCUUGUUUGGAAAGAGACCUUGCCCAGAAAGAAGCUGUCUGUAAUGUAUGGAAUAAAUCAAGUCUACUGCUCUACAUGCGCUUUGCUAUUGUUCCAACUGGUAAGAAUGAAGGUUACCACGGAGUUCAUAGUGGGUUCGCUCCUCAAUGGAUCACGAGUUACUUGAGGAUGUAUAAAACGGAAGAAGGAGUUUAUGUUUAAGGAACUAGAAGCUGAGGAGAGGCUCGUAGAAUUUAUGCCAAAGUCGAUUGCUGGGUAAGCACAAGUUGUGGGAUUUAGCAAGCUAAUUGUAUGAAAUCUUGCGGAACAGAAUCAUACCACAAAGGGGUUUCAGCGGAGUCGGCAAUUUCACAACAACUUUUGAAACUGUCUAUGAGGCUGACAGUCAUUCGUUGUGGAAGAAAGGCUGUGGGAAGCGGUUUGAUGAAUUUUUCGAAAAUGUGAACUCCAGCCAAAUCGGUUCAGAUAGGAGUACGGAUAACAGAUUACAACUUGCUUCGGAAUUAGAUGGAUAACGGUGCAAAACUGAACCGAGAAAACGUCACGGGGAUGCCACGAGGGGCAGCAGUUUGACGGAGCGAAUCGCAGUGAAAGUGUGGGAGUCGCGACUGAGUCUGUACUUGCUCAGAGGCGCAAUUUUGCCGUUGUCGUUACCGCGAUUAUCCCAGUCCCUUCAAUUCCUCUCUAGCCUUCGCUCGACUCGAACUUUUACGUGUUGUUCCCCCACUUUUCCUGAAAAGUCUCGACUCCUGAUGUACGGAAUCGCGCGCGAUCGCGGACUCUGUGUUAAACCUUUGUGGAGAAAUUCACAUUCGGACGAUAGUCGCGUUGAUGUGAUUUUUUUUAUCUCUUGUAUACUGAUUCAAUGAAUUUAAAAAAAUUAUACACUAUAGUUGGGGCGAUUCGAAGAGUGGAUUGAAACUUUGAUUUAAAUUGGCAUCGUUGGUACGAUUCUCUCUUCACUGACACAUCGAAUGUAUUCGUUAAUAUUUCGGCUAGCUUUUACCGUAAUUAGCACCCACGAAA